GAUGAACGCUGGCGGCGUGCCUAACACAUGCAAGUCGAACGGAGUUACUUGUUUAGAUCUCUUCGGAGUGACGAACUUUUAACUUAGUGGCGGACGGGUGAGUAACACGUGAGCAACCUGCCUUUCAGAGGGGGACAACGGCUGGAAACGGUCGCUAAUACCGCAUAAAAUAUUUGAGCGGCAUCGCUUAAAUAUCAAAGGAGCAAUCCGCUGAAAGAUGGGCUCGCGUCUGAUUAGAUAGUUGGCGGGGUAACGGCCCACCAAGGCGACGAUCGGUAGCCGGACUGAGAGGUUGAACGGCCACAUUGGGACUGAGACACGGCCCAG
RNAcentral lists this ribosomal RNA (327 nucleotides) under uncultured bacterium. RNAcentral's name for it is "bacterial SSU rRNA". It matches the Rfam family "Bacterial small subunit ribosomal RNA", at positions 28 to 334 of the family's 1533-position model. The record is from RNAcentral.